GACGAACGCUGGCGGCGUGCUUAACACAUGCAAGUCGAACGGAAAGGCCCUGCUUUUGUGGGGUGCUCGAGUGGCGAACGGGUGAGUAACACGUGAGUAACCUGCCCUUGACUUUGGGAUAACUUCAGGAAACUGGGGCUAAUACCGGAUAGGAUCUCCUGCUGCAUGGUGGGGGUUGGAAAGUUUCGGCGGUUGGGGAUGGACUCGCGGCUUAUCAGCUUGUUGGUGGGGUAGUGGCUUACCAAGGCUUUGACGGGUAGCCGGCCUGGGAGGGUGACCGGCCACAUUGGGACUGAGAUACGGCCCAGACUCCUACGGGAGGCAGCAGUGGGGAAUAUUGCACAAUGGGCGGAAGCCUGAUGCAGCAACGCCGCGUGCGGGAUGACGGCCUUCGGGUUGUAAACCGCUUUCGCCUGUGACGAAGCGUGAGUGACGGUAAUGGGUAAAGAAGCACCGGCUAACUACGUGC
RNAcentral lists this ribosomal RNA (469 nucleotides) under uncultured bacterium. RNAcentral describes it as "partial 16S ribosomal RNA". It matches the Rfam family "Bacterial small subunit ribosomal RNA", at positions 28 to 508 of the family's 1533-position model. The record is from RNAcentral.